Long non-coding RNA from Gasterosteus aculeatus aculeatus (three-spined stickleback), 1923 nucleotides. Lineage: Eukaryota; Metazoa; Chordata; Actinopteri; Perciformes; Gasterosteidae. The record is from Ensembl.
CUUAAACACGUUAGUGAUCGUUGAGUCAAAAGCUAAACUAGUGUAUUCGACCUUUAAUGUUUAGGAGUAUUUAGUAGACUCAAAGGAAAUAAAACCUAUUUAAUAUUAAAUAUGUGACAGAAACAAUCAAACUCAAUAGUGUACUUUCUCACUGUACUACAUUUAAGUAUUUAUUGUAACAAUUUACUACAAAAAAAAAUCUUAAAAUGAUUAAACACAAAUACAGUUAAUUAAAAAAUUGCAAAAACAGAUUUAUACACUUAAUUAAGAACUAGAGGUAUUUUCAAUGUGUUUGUAUUUUUCAUACAGUCAAAUAUAGUAUAUUCACAAACACGAUGAUCGGUUGAUUUAUCAGUUAAUGUUUGCUUCUGUGUUCAUGUUCUUGGUCCCUUGUAGUUAAAUCGGUUUAUGAUUUAUAAGAGUUUGUAUGUUUAAUGACCUGAAAACUUAAAAUUCUUCUUUCACAUAAACGACUCGUCUCUCUACAUUUUCACAUUUUAGGCACAAAACUUGAAAAAGGUUUUGAUUGGUCUCCAUCAUGUUCAUGUUUUAUCAGUGAUAAGUAAAUAUAUUAUUAUCACUCGUUAUUCUGAAGACGCUUAGAAAUAAUAAAAGUCUGAUUUAUUCUCCAACAUCGAAUGAAAGAAAAUAAAUUCAGAUCAGAGCAGCAGAAAAUCUCACACUUCUUACAAGAAUCAGCAAACCUUUGUUAUUUUUACUGUGUGUGUGUACAUGUGUGUGUGUGGGUGUGUACAUGUGUGUGUGUGCGUGUGUGUACAUGUGUGUGCGUGUGUGUACAUGUGCGUGUGUGUGUGCGUGUGCGUGUAUGUGCGUGUGUGCGUGUGUGUACAUGUGCGUGUGUGUGUGCGUGUGUGUACAUGUGUGUGCGUGUCCAGCUGGUUCAUUCAAAAACAGUCAUAUAAACAUUUUCAGAAUUCAGAGUUUUGACACUAGAAGACUUUUAUUCAGAGGACAUUAGCGCUCGAUCCCUUUUGAUUAAUUCAUGAUCAUUUUUCUCAUAUUUAUUUGGUUGACACCGGUUAGCGUAGCGUAGCAUAAAGACGAAGCAGAGGGACGUGGACUUCAUUAUCACCACAUGAGGAGCAGAGGUUCGAUUACAGGAGAGAUUUUAAUUACAGAUGAGAGUGUUUGAAGUGUUAACAGAAUGAGUGCUCACCGCUCUCUCUCUCUCCCUAUUCACUGAGGGGCUCGCUCGCCCUCGUCCUGUGCAGCCGUAUUACCACAUCUGAGAGGACAGACACACGCUCCAUAACCACGAGUGUUUGAAGUGUGUUCACAGCUCUUAGUUACCGAAUACAUCACCCUGUUUCAGUCUUUGCUUUCUGUGGGUCUGAUUGGAUCCCCGUGUGGCGCCUGUGGACCAAUCACAGCGGAGGAAACUGACACUGAACCAAGUGUCAGCAAACAAUAAAUAAGAAACAGUACAAGUUGAAAAGGAAUCAUAACAUGUAACCCUCAGACCAGCCGGUCUCAUUGUCUCGUUGUCCUCGUGGACCAGACCAGCCGGUCUCAUGGUCUCGUUGUCCUCGUGGACCAGACCAGCAGGUCUUGCUGGUCCUUGUAGUCUUGUUGUGCCGUGGCCCAGAAAGAACAGAAGGUCUCAUUUAGCCUCGCUGUCCCCAUGAGGUCCCGGUUAGUCCAUUCAUGAAGGGUCUCUACAUUGUGGUUCAAGAAGUCUGCUCUGACGGUCAAGAUUCUCAAAGCUGAAGUACAAGAGGACACGGACGGACGUAUGGACAGACGAGAGGCUGCUGCCAUCCAAUGGGCUGUCAGUGCUGCUGCAGGAGGGCGGUCUGCUCCUCCAGCAGCCAAUGAGCUGCGAUCCUGCUGGCGUAGAUCACGUAGGACCAUGACAAGACCACCACAGCCAGCAGCACCUGAGGGACGAUAUUAUACCCUGUU